CAAGCCUGAUGCAGCCUGCCGCGUGUGUGAAGAAGGCCUUCGGGUUGUAAAGCACUUUCAGUCAGGAGGAAAGCGUGGUGGUUAAUACCCAUCAUGUGUGACGUUACUGACAGAAGAAGCACCGGCUAACUCCGUGCCAGCAGCCGCGGUAAUACGGAGGGUGCGAGCGUUAAUCGGAAUUACUGGGCGUAAAGCGUACGCAGGCGGUUUGUUAAGCGAGAUGUGAAAGCCCCGGGCUCAACCUGGGAACUGCAUUUCGAACUGGCAAACUAGAGUGUGAUAGAGGGUGGUAGAAUUUCAGGUGUAGCGGUGAAAUGCGUAGAGAUCUGAAGGAAUACCGAUGGCGAAGGCAGCCACCUGGGUCAACACUGACGCUCAUGUACGAAAGCGUGGGGAGCAAACGGGAUUAGAUACCCCGGUAGUCCACGCCGUAAACGAUGUCUACUAGAAGCUCGGAGCCUCGGUUCUGUUUUUCAAAGCUAACGCAUUAAGUAGACCGCCUGGGGAGUACGGCCGCAAGGUUAAAACUCAAAUGAAUUGACGGGGGCCCGCACAAGCGGUGGAGCAUGUGGUUUAAUUCGAUGCA
Molecule: ribosomal RNA, 586 nt
Filed under: Pseudoalteromonas sp. Prot2
Lineage: Bacteria; Pseudomonadati; Pseudomonadota; Gammaproteobacteria; Alteromonadales; Pseudoalteromonadaceae
Description: bacterial SSU rRNA
Rfam family: Bacterial small subunit ribosomal RNA
Source: RNAcentral